This 269-nucleotide long non-coding RNA is filed under the name Elaeis guineensis (African oil palm). RNAcentral describes it as "long non-coding RNA (EGUI_LNC001428)". The record is from RNAcentral. Lineage: Eukaryota; Viridiplantae; Streptophyta; Magnoliopsida; Arecales; Arecaceae.
UGUGCGACCUUCUCUACUACUUUCUCCCACACCCUCCAACCUCUUGAGGCUGCCACCUCCAUUGGCUCUAGGCUCUGGAUCUCCAGUCGAUGCUCCAUUAUCUCCUUCACCUUCGGACUAUGAGGGCUUGGACAAGCUCCAUCGUCUUCAAUAUCCGAUCGAUGCUUGAUGGUAUUGGAAUGGAAGGCUCUAGCAACAGAAAAAGUUUAGCAAAAGAUGUUAUCUCAAAUGGCCAAAUGGCUACACGAUUUCAAUUUCAAAUGGGAGGG